Molecule: ribosomal RNA, 239 nt
Filed under: uncultured bacterium
Lineage: Bacteria
Description: partial 16S ribosomal RNA
Rfam family: Bacterial small subunit ribosomal RNA
Source: RNAcentral
CUCCUACGGGAGGCAGCAGUGGGGGAUAUUGCACAAUGGGGGGAACCCUGAUGCAGCGACGCCGCGUGGGUGAAGGAGCGUUUCGGCGCGUAAAGCCCUAUCGGCAGGGAAGAAGGAGGACGGUACCUGACUAAGAAGCCCCGGCUAACUACGUGCCAGCAGCCGCGGGAAUACGUAGGGGGCAAGCGUUAUCCGGAUUUACUGGGUUUAAAGGGUGCGUAGGCGGUUUGAUUAGUUAG